CAGCGCCUUAAAAACAUUUAACAACACGUGUAUCAUAUUAUUGUUCCCAACAAAAGCUAUCAUAUAGUAUGUUUCUCAAGUUAUACCCCCAGUUUCACCACAUCCAAAAUUUAAGAGAAGAAAAUUUAGAGUUUCAUAGAAAAAGGGUAGAAACAGUGAGCUCCACUCCACAAGUGUUUUUCUUAGAAUUGCAAAUCCGUUUCUCCCGUCUCUACAGCAAAACAAGAUUCAUUCUUUAAUUUUUCCUACUCACGGAGGGUACGUCCGCAAGUAAAGUCGGAACGAAUGAUUCAAGUUAAGGGAACUAAAUGAUCCAGGUUGAGCAGCGAAGUGGUGGAGGAAGUGCUAUUGACACAAGACAUUUAAUUC
Molecule: long non-coding RNA, 369 nt
Organism: Salvia splendens (bonfire salvia)
Lineage: Eukaryota; Viridiplantae; Streptophyta; Magnoliopsida; Lamiales; Lamiaceae
Exons: 3
Source: RefSeq, a predicted model, not a curated record